AUUCAUCACAACAUAAGCGAAAACAACUCACCAAAACAUAGAAAAUCUUUUCAUCAAAUUUUGCAAUGAGGUCUGCUACAUUGUUUGUGAUCUCUUGUGUUCUCAUGUUCUUUGUUAUCCACCAUGCUAAAGUUGAGGCGAGAAAACUACAUGCACCUCAACUUGUUUACAUUGCUCAUGGAUGGGAUUGUGGUCCUGAAGGAUGGGCACGAUGCCUAGCAGAUAUUGCAGAUGAUAAUAAAGAUCAUUGGUACACUCGUUGCAGCUGCUCAAAUGUUCCCGAGGGACAUAUGUGUAAUUGUUUUCAUUAACUAUCUUUGAUAUGAUUUACUGUAUCUCCAUAACUAAAAUAUUUAUAUAAUCAUAUAUAUAUAUAAUAAUGGUUUCACUCUCUC
Long non-coding RNA from Eutrema salsugineum, 395 nucleotides. RefSeq lists it as uncharacterized. The record is from RefSeq and is a predicted model, not a curated record. Lineage: Eukaryota; Viridiplantae; Streptophyta; Magnoliopsida; Brassicales; Brassicaceae. The transcript is spliced from 2 exons.